GAUGAACGCUGGCGGCGUGCCUAAUACAUGCAAGUCGAGCGAACAGGUGAGGAGCUUGCUCCUCUGACGUUAGCGGCGGACGGGUGAGUAACACGUGGAUAACCUACCUAUAAGACUGGGAUAACUUCGGGAAACCGGAGCUAAUACCGGAUAAUAUAUUGAACCGCAUGGUUCAAUAGUGAAAGUCGGUUUUGCUGUCACUUAUAGAUGGAUCCGCGCCGAAUUAGCUAGUUGGUAAGGUAACGGCUUACCAAGGCAACGAUGCGUAGCCGACCUGAGAGGGUGAUCGGCCACACUGGAACUGAGACACGGUCCAGACUCCUACGGGAGGCAGCAGUAGGGAAUCUUCCGCAAAGGGCGAAAGCCUGACGGAGCAACGCCGCGUGAGUGAUGAAGGUCUUCGGAUCGUAAAACUCUGUUAUUAGGGAAGAACAAAUGUGUAAGUAACUAUGCACGUCUUGACGGUACCUAAUCAGAAAGCCACGGCUAACUACGUG
Molecule: ribosomal RNA, 497 nt
Filed under: uncultured bacterium
Lineage: Bacteria
Description: partial 16S ribosomal RNA
Rfam family: Bacterial small subunit ribosomal RNA
Source: RNAcentral